Molecule: ribosomal RNA, 564 nt
Filed under: uncultured bacterium
Lineage: Bacteria
Description: bacterial SSU rRNA
Rfam family: Bacterial small subunit ribosomal RNA
Source: RNAcentral
CCUACGGGAGGCAGCAGUGGGGAAUCUUGCGCAGUGGGCGAAAGCCUGACGCAGCAACGCCGCGUGCGGGAAGAAGGCCCUAGGGUUGUAAACCGCUUUCAGUAGGAACGAAAAUGACGGUACCUGCAGAAGAAGGUGCGGCCAACUACGUGCCAGCAGCCGCGGUGACACGUAGGCACCAAGCGUUGUCCGGAUUUAUUGGGCGUAAAGAGCUCGUAGGCGGUUCAGUAAGUCGGGUGUGAAAACUCUGGGCUUAACCCAGAGCCGCCACUCGAUACUGCUGUGACUUGAGUUCGGUAGGGGAGCAGGGAAUUCCUAGUGUAGCGGUGAAAUGCGCAGAUAUUAGGAGGAACACCGGUGGCGAAGGCGCUGCUCUGGGCCGAUACUGACGCUGAGGAGCGAAAGCGUGGGUAGCAAACAGGAUUAGAUACCCUGGUAGUCCACGCCGUAAACGUUGGGCACUAGGUGUGGGUUCCAACCGAACGGAAUCCGCGCCGUCGCUAACGCAUUAAGUGCCCCGCCUGGGGAGUACGGCGGCAACGCUAAAACUCAAAUGAUUGACGG